GCUAAACGCGAAGAACCUUACCUGGUCUUGACAUCCAUGGAACCCUGCAGAGAUGCGGGGUGCGUAAGGAACAUGAGACAGGUGCUGCAUGGCUGUCGUCAGCUCGUGUCGUGAGAUGUUGGGUUAAGUCCCGCAACGAGCGCAACCCUUGUCCUUAGUUGCCAUCAUUUAGUUGGGCACUCUAGAGGGACUGCCGGUGAUAAGCCGGAGGAAGGUGGGGAUGACGUCAAGUCUUCAUGGCCCUUACGGGCUGGGCUACACACGUGCUACAAUGGCGGUGACAGAGGGCAGCUAGUCCGCGAGGACAUGCUAAUCCCUAAAAGCCGUCUCAGUUCGGAUUGCACUCUGCAACUCGAGUGCAUGAAGUUGGAAUCGCUAGUAAUCGCAGAUCAGCACGCUGCGGUGAAUA
This 409-nucleotide ribosomal RNA is filed under the name uncultured bacterium. Its description in RNAcentral is "bacterial SSU rRNA". It matches the Rfam family "Bacterial small subunit ribosomal RNA", at positions 954 to 1368 of the family's 1533-position model. The record is from RNAcentral.